AACGGGGGGAGCAAGCGUUGUCCGGAAUUACUGGGCGUAAAGAGCUCGUAGGCGGGGUUUUAAGUCCGGAAGUAAAUCCGCCGGCUCAACUGGCGAAUCAUUCUGGAUACUGGGACUCUUGAGGACAGGAGAGGAAAGCGGAAUUCCUAGUGUAGCGGUGAAAUGCGUAGAUAUUAGGAGGAACACCAGUGGCGAAGGCGGCUUUCUGGCCUGGUCCUGACGCUGAGGAGCGAAAGCCAGGGGAGCGAACGGG
Molecule: ribosomal RNA, 253 nt
Filed under: uncultured bacterium
Lineage: Bacteria
Description: partial 16S ribosomal RNA
Rfam family: Bacterial small subunit ribosomal RNA
Source: RNAcentral